This is a long non-coding RNA of Drosophila miranda, 613 nucleotides long. RefSeq lists it as uncharacterized. The record is from RefSeq and is a predicted model, not a curated record. The transcript has 3 exons. NCBI's taxonomy places the organism in Eukaryota, Metazoa, Arthropoda, Insecta, Diptera, Drosophilidae.
UCGUGGGAAUAUGCCCAUUCCUUUGACGUGAAUAUAAAUUCCGACAGGGAUGUGAGAGUGGGUUGCUAUAUUCAAAAACAAAACAUAAAAUCCAAAUUCGAGGGAGAAUAGAAUGCUUUUCAAAGUGACAUUUUGUUGAGAUUUAUUUGGAAAUAAAUAUUUAUUUAGUUGAGCCUGGAUAGGCCUCGGGUCUAGACGGUGCCGGUCCAUCCUUUGUACUGGGAACCUUAUGGCUAUUAAGUAUCUUCGAGUUGCAGAACAGCAACAUUAAUUUGUCGGGCUUGUACAGGUGUGUACGGGUAUUCAAUAGUUUGGCAGAUCCUUUGACACAUCCUCUGGUCCUGCAAGAUGAUAGUCGAGGCGGCACAGAUGCCACUAUUUUCAUGGAUUCCUUUAUCACUGGAAAUGAUGGCAGUAAUGUCGUCUAGGCUGCCAUCUCAUAGAGUCGAAGGACACGAAGGAGUUGUCCGAGGACCUGGCCAACUUUAAAUGAUCGGAGUAGUGAUCGUUUUUUGUAUCUAUCCGGAUAGAGAUUACCUAUUGAAUGUUGCUCCAAGGCUGUGUUGAAUUUCAUCAAAAUUUACAAGAUAUAUUUGUAUCAAUAAAUUUGUAU